RNAcentral lists this non-coding RNA (24 nucleotides) under Cricetulus griseus (Chinese hamster). Lineage: Eukaryota; Metazoa; Chordata; Mammalia; Rodentia; Cricetidae. The record is from RNAcentral.
CGAAGCAGAAGCAGGAGAAGGAGG